RNAcentral lists this ribosomal RNA (468 nucleotides) under uncultured bacterium. RNAcentral's name for it is "partial 16S ribosomal RNA". It matches the Rfam family "Bacterial small subunit ribosomal RNA", at positions 28 to 507 of the family's 1533-position model. The record is from RNAcentral.
GACGAACGCUGGCGGCGUGCUUAACACAUGCAAGUCGAACGGAAAGGCCCUGCUUUUGUGGGGUGCUCGAGUGGCGAACGGGUGAGUAACACGUGAGUAACCUGCCCUUGACUUUGGGAUAACUUCAGGAAACUGGGGCUAAUACCGGAUAGGAGCUCCUGCUGCAUGGUGGGGGUUGGAAAGUUUCGGCGGUUGGGGAUGGACUCGCGGCUUAUCAGCUUGUUGGUGGGGUAGUGGCUUACCAAGGCUUUGACGGGUAGCCGGCCUGAGAGGGUGAACGGCCACAUUGGGACUGCGGUACGGCCCAGACGCCUACGGGAGGCAGCAGUGGGGAAUAUUGCACAAUGGGCGGAAGCCUGAUGCAGCAACGCCGCGUGCGGGAUGACGGCCUUCGGGUUGUAAACCGCUUUCGCCUGUGACGAAGCGUGAGUGACGGUAAUGGGUAAAGAAGCACCGGCUAACUACGUG